RNAcentral lists this ribosomal RNA (406 nucleotides) under uncultured bacterium. RNAcentral's name for it is "partial 16S ribosomal RNA". It matches the Rfam family "Bacterial small subunit ribosomal RNA", at positions 30 to 526 of the family's 1533-position model. The record is from RNAcentral.
AUUGAACGCUGGCGGCAGGCCUAACACAUGCAAGUCGAACGAGCGGCGGACGGGUGAGUAAUGUAUGGGAAACUGCCCGAUGGAGGGGGAUAACUACUGGAAACGGUAGCUAAUACCGCAUACCAUCGGAUGUGCCCAUAUGGGAUUAGCUAGUAGGUGGGGUAACGGCUCAACUAGGCGACGAUCCCUAGCUGGUAUGAGAGGAUGAACAGCCACACUGGAACUGAGACACGGCCCAGACUCCUACGGGAGGCAGCAGUGGGGAAUAUUGCACAAUGGGCGCAAGCCUGAUGCAGCCAUGCCGCGUGUAUGAAGAAGGCCUUCGGGUUGUAAAGUACUUUAAGCGAGGAGGCGUUACUCGCAGAAGAAGCACCGGCUAACUCCGUGCCAGCAGCCGCGGUAAUAC